AAGGACUUAAGUUAAUGAAACUGAAAGCCUUCAAAGCUUUAAAUAAGAAUGGAACUUUCUUAGUCCUUG
This 69-nucleotide transfer RNA is filed under the name Glyptocidaris crenularis. RNAcentral describes it as "tRNA-Trp". Lineage: Eukaryota; Metazoa; Echinodermata; Echinoidea; Phymosomatoida; Phymosomatidae. The record is from RNAcentral.